UCCAGAAGAUGACAUUUUCCAGAGCUGCAUGGUGAGAGAAUCCACACCUACCACUUCAUGGCAGGUCUUUGUGCUUUAAAGUGUUGAGGCUACACAGAGGCACAUCUAUAAUGUCCUGAUGUACUCAUUGGUACAGGUGGAAGACAAAGAUUUAAAACUGGUAUUUCAGUUUGCCAUGCAGAAAGACUAUCUAGUAAGUAAUCGAGUCAUGGCUGUCUGAAUGGAAAAGAACAAUUCAGCAACAGGCCCAGGGUUCUUCAUCCUCAGCCUUACUGUCAUCUUCUGCAGUACCAGCCUUUCCUGAGACUUUGAUGUUGGAAAUGGGCCUUAUCCAUUGUCCGGAACUAUGGAGAGAAAGACAGCAUGAGCAAUGGGUGCUGCUGUAGUUGAUCUACGCCUGAGCUGUCCCACCAAAAUCACACAUACUGGCCUUCAUUGUUUUUGUUACAAAAUACAAUCAAUGCAGCAGACCAAGACCCUGCAGUGGCCACAUCAUUAUUACCACACCCAAGAUAAUGGAGACAUCACCCAGAUCUCAGCUGGGUCCUGUCCUGUCAUCCAAGCAACAGCUGUCCUGAAUUAAACUCAUAAACAGUCAUUCUGGUAAGGCAGAAUAUUGUUCAGAUUAGGAAAUGUGUAAGGAAAAUAUUGCUUUAUAGAUCCAUUUUUGAAAAGUUAAUAUUUCUGUAUGAAAUGAGUUUAAUACACUUUAAUAACACCAACCAAAUAUGUUGGAAUAUAUUUGGAUAUAGUUAUUAGAAUUCAGGUAGAUUAAUGUAACUCUCUAGGAGAUAGUCUUCAAAAUUAGCCUGGCAAUACAAAGCAUUUACUUUCUAUACUCUUCCGCAUUCUUCCAGCACAUAUCUGUGCUGCAAUUUGCCAUGUAAAAUAUUCACAUUAUUACCUUAACUACCAUGUUCUUUAAUCUAGAGUGGGAUGUGACAGGGAGUUU
Long non-coding RNA from Oxyura jamaicensis (ruddy duck), 952 nucleotides. RefSeq lists it as uncharacterized. The record is from RefSeq and is a predicted model, not a curated record. The transcript has 4 exons. NCBI's taxonomy places the organism in Eukaryota, Metazoa, Chordata, Aves, Anseriformes, Anatidae.